This 253-nucleotide ribosomal RNA is filed under the name uncultured bacterium. RNAcentral describes it as "partial 16S ribosomal RNA". It matches the Rfam family "Bacterial small subunit ribosomal RNA", at positions 524 to 776 of the family's 1533-position model. The record is from RNAcentral.
UACGAAGGGUGCAAGCGUUAAUCGGAAUUACUGGGCGUAAAGCGUGCGUAGGCGGUUUCUUAAGUCUGCUGUGAAAGCCCCGGGCUCAACCUGGGAAUGGCGGUGGAUACUGAGAAGCUGGAGUACGGUAGAGGAAGGUGGAAUUCCCGGUGUAGCGGUGAAAUGCGUAGAGAUCGGGAGGAACACCAGUGGCGAAGGCGGCGACCUGGGCCAAUAUUGACGCUGAGGUGCGAAAGCGUGGGGAGCAAACAGG